RNAcentral lists this ribosomal RNA (554 nucleotides) under uncultured bacterium. RNAcentral's name for it is "bacterial SSU rRNA". It matches the Rfam family "Bacterial small subunit ribosomal RNA", at positions 567 to 1116 of the family's 1533-position model. The record is from RNAcentral.
GCGCGUAGGCGGCUCGUUAAGUGAGAAGUGAAAGCUGUGGGCUCAACCCACAAACCGCUUUUCAUACUGGCGAGCUGGAGUGAUGCAGAGGUGGAUAGAAUUCCCGGUGUAGCGGUGAAAUGCGUUGAUAUCGGGAGGAAUACCCGUGGCGAAGGCGGUCCACUGGGCAUCAACUGACGCUGAGGCGCGAAAGCGUGGGUAGCAAACAGGAUUAGAUACCCUGGUAGUCCACGCCCUAAACGAUGGAUGCUAGGCGUAGGAGGUAUCGACCCCUCCUGUGCCGCAGCUAACGCAUUAAGCAUCCCGCCUGGGGACUACGGCCGCAAGGUUGAAACUCAAAUGAAUUGACGGGGACCCGCACAAGCGGUGGAGCAUGUGGAUUAAUUCGAUACUAACCGAAGAACCUUACCCAGGUUUGACAUCGAGGGUAAGCCUAUGAAAGUAGGCCCUCUCCCACAAGGAGACCCAAAGACAGAUGUUGCAUGGCUGUCGUCAGCUCGUGCCGUGAGGUGUACGGUUAAGUCCGCCAACGAGCGCAACCCUCGUCCUGUGUU